GUCUAUGGCCAUAGCACACUGAACACAUUCAAUCUCCUCUGAUCUCGGAAGCUGUUCAGGGUUGGGCCUGGUUAGUACUUGGGUGGGAAACCAUCACCCAAACAAAGAGACCAUCAUGGAGU
Molecule: ribosomal RNA, 122 nt
Filed under: Erinaceus europaeus (western European hedgehog)
Lineage: Eukaryota; Metazoa; Chordata; Mammalia; Eulipotyphla; Erinaceidae
Source: RNAcentral